This 2838-nucleotide ribosomal RNA is filed under the name Campylobacter coli. RNAcentral's name for it is "partial 23S ribosomal RNA". It matches the Rfam family "Bacterial large subunit ribosomal RNA". The record is from RNAcentral. Lineage: Bacteria; Pseudomonadati; Campylobacterota; Epsilonproteobacteria; Campylobacterales; Campylobacteraceae.
GUAAGCUACUAAGAGCGAAUGGUGGAUGCCUUGACUGGUAAAGGCGAUGAAGGACGUACUAGACUGCGAUAAGCUACGGGGAGCUGUCAAGAAGCUUUGAUCCGUAGAUUUCCGAAUGGGGCAACCCAAUGUAUAGAGAUAUACAUUACCUAUAUAGGAGCGAACGAGGGGAAUUGAAACAUCUUAGUACCCUCAGGAAAAGAAAUCAAUAGAGAUUGCGUCAGUAGCGGCGAGCGAAAGCGCAAGAGGGCAAACCCAGUGCUUGCACUGGGGGUUGUAGGACUGCAAUGUGCAAGAGGUGAGUUUAGCAGAACAUUCUGGAAAGUAUAGCCAUAGAGGGUGAUAGUCCCGUAUGCGAAAAACAAACCUUAGCUAGCAGUAUCCUGAGUAGGGCGGGACACGAGAAAUCCUGUCUGAAGCUGGGUCGACCACGAUCCAACCCUAAAUACUAAUACCAGAUCGAUAGUGCACAAGUACCGUGAGGGAAAGGUGAAAAGAACUGAGGUGAUCAGAGUGAAAUAGAACCUGAAACCAUUUGCUUACAAUCAUUCAGAGCCCUAUGUAGCAAUACAGGGUGAUGGACUGCCUUUUGCAUAAUGAGCCUGCGAGUUGUGGUGUCUGGCAAGGUUAAGCAAACGCGAAGCCGUAGCGAAAGCGAGUCUGAAUAGGGCGCUUAGUCAGAUGCUGCAGACCCGAAACGAAGUGAUCUAUCCAUGAGCAAGUUGAAGCUAGUGUAAGAACUAGUGGAGGACUGAACCCAUAGGCGUUGAAAAGCCCCGGGAUGACUUGUGGAUAGGGGUGAAAGGCCAAUCAAACUUCGUGAUAGCUGGUUCUCUCCGAAAUAUAUUUAGGUAUAGCGUUGUGUCGUAAUAUAAGGGGGUAGAGCACUGAAUGGGCUAGGGCAUACACCAAUGUACCAAACCCUAUCAAACUCCGAAUACCUUAUAUGUAAUCACAGCAGUCAGGCGGCGAGUGAUAAAAUCCGUCGUCAAGAGGGAAACAACCCAGACUACCAGCUAAGGUCCCUAAAUCUUACUUAAGUGGAAAACGAUGUGAAGUUACUUAAACAACCAGGAGGUUGGCUUAGAAGCAGCCAUCCUUUAAAGAAAGCGUAAUAGCUCACUGGUCUAGUGAUUUUGCGCGGAAAAUAUAACGGGGCUAAAGUAAGUACCGAAGCUGUAGACUUGCGCACAACUUAGAUUAUUUAAGUUUAGAAUAUGAGAAACUAAGUUAUAUGUUUAGUUAUAUUUUUACUGAUUUUUAUAGAGUAAAGAUAGAAAUAAAACUUAGUAAAAUCAGUAAAAAUAUUCUUAGACUAAAGUUAAGUAGUUUAAGUUGUGUGCAAGUGGUAGGAGAGCGUUCUAUUUGCGUCGAAGGUAUACCGGUAAGGAGUGCUGGAGCGAAUAGAAGUGAGCAUGCAGGCAUGAGUAGCGAUAAUUAAUGUGAGAAUCAUUAACGCCGUAAACCCAAGGUUUCCUACGCGAUGCUCGUCAUCGUAGGGUUAGUCGGGUCCUAAGUCGAGUCCGAAAGGGGUAGACGAUGGCAAAUUGGUUAAUAUUCCAAUACCAACAUUAGUGUGCGAUGGAAGGACGCUUAGGGCUAAGGGGGCUAGCGGAUGGAAGUGCUAGUCUAAGGUCGUAGGAGGUUAUACAGGCAAAUCCGUAUAACAAUACUCCGAGAACUGAAAGGCUUUUUGAAGUCUUCGGAUGGAUAGAAGAACCCCUGAUGCCGUCGAGCCAAGAAAAGUUUCUAAGUUUAGCUAAUGUUGCCCGUACCGUAAACCGACACAGGUGGGUGGGAUGAGUAUUCUAAGGCGCGUGGAAGAACUCUCUUUAAGGAACUCUGCAAAAUAGCACCGUAUCUUCGGUAUAAGGUGUGGUUAGCUUUGUAUUAGGAUUUACUCCGAAAGCGAAGAAACUUACAACAAAGAGUCCCUCCCGACUGUUUACCAAAAACACAGCACUCUGCUAACUCGUAAGAGGAUGUAUAGGGUGUGACGCCUGCCCGGUGCUCGAAGGUUAAUUGAUGGGGUUAGCAUUAGCGAAGCUCUUGAUCGAAGCCCGAGUAAACGGCGGCCGUAACUAUAACGGUCCUAAGGUAGCGAAAUUCCUUGUCGGUUAAAUACCGACCUGCAUGAAUGGCGUAACGAGAUGGGAGCUGUCUCAAAGAGGGAUCCAGUGAAAUUGUAGUGGAGGUGAAAAUUCCUCCUACCCGCGGCAAGACGGAAAGACCCCGUGGACCUUUACUACAGCUUGACACUGCUACUUGGAUAAGAAUGUGCAGGAUAGGUGGGAGGCUUUGAGUAUAUGACGCCAGUUGUAUAUGAGCCAUUGUUGAGAUACCACUCUUUCUUAUUUGGGUAGCUAACCAGCUUGAGUUAUCCUCAAGUGGGACAAUGUCUGGUGGGUAGUUUGACUGGGGCGGUCGCCUCCCAAAUAAUAACGGAGGCUUACAAAGGUUGGCUCAGAACGGUUGGAAAUCGUUCGUAGAGUAUAAAGGUAUAAGCCAGCUUAACUGCAAGACAUACAAGUCAAGCAGAGACGAAAGUCGGUCUUAGUGAUCCGGUGGUUCUGUGUGGAAGGGCCAUCGCUCAAAGGAUAAAAGGUACCCCGGGGAUAACAGGCUGAUCUCCCCCAAGAGCUCACAUCGACGGGGAGGUUUGGCACCUCGAUGUCGGCUCAUCGCAUCCUGGGGCUGGAGCAGGUCCCAAGGGUAUGGCUGUUCGCCAUUUAAAGCGGUACGCGAGCUGGGUUCAGAACGUCGUGAGACAGUUCGGUCCCUAUCUGCCGUGGGCGUAAGAAGAUUGAAGAGAUUUGACCCUAGUACGAGAGGACCGGG